RNAcentral lists this long non-coding RNA (691 nucleotides) under Parus major (Great Tit). RNAcentral's name for it is "lncRNA (ENSPMJG00000004085.1)". The record is from RNAcentral. Lineage: Eukaryota; Metazoa; Chordata; Aves; Passeriformes; Paridae.
GAACCAAAGUACAAGUCUCUAUUGCAGGAACUAUUGCCAAGGAGAUGAUUAUUCAUUAACUCUGGGCUUUACAGAUGCAAGGAUGGGACAAACAUUUCUUUGGCCCUGAUUCAGCAGGUUCACAGGGGUCACACAAUUCACAGCAAAAAGCUCUGGCCUGACCUAUGGAGAGUGAUCUGCUGGAGAGCCAUGGACCACAGGAAAGCCUUUGAUCUCUGUGUGUGCCUGCCAGUUGGCCACUGCUGUGUCAUAAAUGCCUCUGCUGUCAGUGGGAAAUGUGAGUGUGAUAAAGGAGAAUUUCAGAGCCUGCUGUAUGCAGAGCUUCAGCUUCCUUCUGCCUCCAGAAUGUUCUGUGGCUCCAGAACCAGCUGGAUGGUCACACUUCUCUGUACUUCGCCACACAUCACAUGGAGAAACGAGCAAAGCCAAACUCAAAGACCCUCAGACAGAUGGAUUAAAUAAUUUGUGGCCACAGAACAUUUCCUCUGGCUUCCGAAAGAGACUCUUGUCAUUUCUAGGGCUGCCUCAGCUGCCAGCAGUGGUGGCUGUGUUGUCCCAGUACUGCCCACAGUCCAGCUGGAGUCCAGCUUGCAGCAAGGAAAAGAUUGGAAGCAGUCUGAUUUCUGAGAUCUUGCAGAGAGCUGGUUCCUUGGAAAGAAGAGCUAGACCUGACAGCCCUGGACUUCAUUGA